GGUGCAUGCGUCGGGGAUCGGUUCCCUGAGGUCAUAAACAAAACGACUCUCGGCAACGGAUAUCUCGGCUCUCGCAUCGAUGAAGAACGUAGCGAAAUGCGAUACUUGGUGUGAAUUGCAGAAUCCCGUGAACCAUCGAGUCUUUGAACGCAAGU
Molecule: ribosomal RNA, 155 nt
Filed under: Clusia renggerioides
Lineage: Eukaryota; Viridiplantae; Streptophyta; Magnoliopsida; Malpighiales; Clusiaceae
Description: 5.8S ribosomal RNA
Rfam family: 5.8S ribosomal RNA (bases 45-155)
About the family: 5.8S ribosomal RNA (5.8S rRNA) is a component of the large subunit of the eukaryotic ribosome. It is transcribed by RNA polymerase I as part of the 45S precursor that also contains 18S and 28S rRNA. Functionally, it is thought that 5.8S rRNA may be involved in ribosome translocation.
Source: RNAcentral